UUUAGGAGUGGUAUCACCCUCAAACACAAGGCAGCUCUACAGCAAGAGUCUUGAGAUAUGUUGCAAUGGCCCCUUGGUUCAGGCCAGGCUGUAAAAAGCUGAGGGCCUUUGUGAGUCCAUUUCAGUGAAAAGCCUGGAUGCAAAUCCCAAGCUCUUGCACCUCCUGGCCCUGAAUAAGUGUUCUGGCAGCUCCACACACAGGUGGGGACAAUACCCAGGGCUGGAGAAAGAAGGGUUGAAAUGCUCUGCUGAGCACAGGAAAGAAGAAUGAAUCCACAAUGCUUUCCUACUGAGGGCCAGCAUGUGCCUCUGGUUCUGCAGGGGCAUCUGUCAUUCUUGCCCAUGACUUAGCCUGGGAGCCAGAUAACAGCAUUGAAACCUGCUGCAAGUAUCUCCUGUGGCAGGGGCCUGGAGUCAGCCCUCUACCUUUCUGGGUAAAAUCAAGCAUAACAGAUCUGGGUAGUAUUUGGCACAGUGCUCUGGGAGACCCUGGUGCUGAGACACUGAGAAAAAGGGGCCAAAUGCUGAUCUCUGAUAUGGAUGUGGAGGAGCACUCUGCCUUGUCUUUUGUUAGCGGUACAAGAGCAAGCUCUUAUUUUGGAAGAAGCGCUAAUGCCUAAUUUCCUGACAGCUGAUGACAAUUUGUCCUUCUGAGAUAAGUACCAGGUCCUACAAAUAAUACCUCCCACCCCCGCUGAGCACACAGGGCCUAUUCGUGGGUGCUUAGAGCUCUCCCCCUUGCUUCCAGGGCCUCCGUGUUUCCGGAUCUUAGGCCCUAAAAAUACGCCUCCCCUCUUGCCUGAAUAAGGCAGGCGUUGCGUCUCCUCCUCGGCCCUCAGGAUGCAGUCGAAGCUGCCUUGCCUCCUCGCCCGUGGCUGCAAGCGCUUUCGUGGCUCUCCUCGCUAAGGGGGCCCUCUCUUGGCCCCCCCGUCCCCACCUUGCCUCUCGUCUGGGG
Aquila chrysaetos chrysaetos is the source of this 955-nucleotide long non-coding RNA. RefSeq lists it as uncharacterized. The transcript is spliced from 3 exons. NCBI's taxonomy places the organism in Eukaryota, Metazoa, Chordata, Aves, Accipitriformes, Accipitridae. The record is from RefSeq and is a predicted model, not a curated record.